This 425-nucleotide ribosomal RNA is filed under the name uncultured bacterium. RNAcentral describes it as "bacterial SSU rRNA". It matches the Rfam family "Bacterial small subunit ribosomal RNA", at positions 356 to 773 of the family's 1533-position model. The record is from RNAcentral.
GGGGAAUAUUGCACAAUGGGCGCAAGCCUGAUGCAGCCAUGCCGCGUGUAUGAAGAAGGCCUUCGGGUUGUAAAGUACUUUCAGCGAGGAGGAAGGCAUUAAGGUUAAUAACCUUAGUGAUUGACGUUACUCGCAGAAGAAGCACCGGCUAACUCCGUGCCAGCAGCCGCGGUAAUACGGAGGGUGCAAGCGUUAAUCGGAAUUACUGGGCGUAAAGCGCACGCAGGCGGUCUGUUAAGUCAGAUGUGAAAUCCCCGGGCUCAACCUGGGAACUGCAUUUGAAACUGGCAGGCUUGAGUCUUGUAGAGGGGGGUAGAAUUCCAGGUGUAGCGGUGAAAUGCGUAGAGAUCUGGAGGAAUACCGGUGGCGAAGGCGGCCCCCUGGACAAAGACUGACGCUCAGGGGCGAAAGCGUGGGGAGCAAAC